AGUGGGUAGUCCGCACGAGCGCACCCUAUCCUUAUUUGCCAGCGCGUUAUGGCGGGAACUCUAAGGAGACUGCCGGUGAUAAACCGGAGGAAGGUGGGGACGACGUCAAGUCAUCAUGGCCCUUACGGGAUGGGCUACACACGUGCUACAAUGGCGUAUACAGAGUGCUGCAAUACCGCGAGGUGGAGCGAAUCACACAAAGUACGUCGUAGCCCGGAUCGGAGUCUGCAACUCGACUCCGUGAAGUCGGAAUCGCUAGUAAUCGUAGAUCAGAAUGCUACGGUGAAUACGUUCCCGGGCCUUGUACACACCGCCCGUCACACCAUGGGAGUGGGAUGCAAAAGAAGUGGCUAGUUUAACCUUUCGGGGAGGACGGUCACCACUUUGUGUUUCAUGACUGGGGUGAAGUCGUAACAAGGUAACCCUAGGGGAACCUGGGGUUGGAUCACCUCCUUAUCUU
Molecule: ribosomal RNA, 460 nt
Filed under: uncultured Colwelliaceae bacterium
Lineage: Bacteria; Pseudomonadati; Pseudomonadota; Gammaproteobacteria; Alteromonadales; Colwelliaceae
Description: bacterial SSU rRNA
Rfam family: Bacterial small subunit ribosomal RNA
Source: RNAcentral